UCACUCAUAGCUCAGUCGGUAAAGAAUCUGCCUGCAAAGCAGGAGACCGAGGUUCAAUUCCUGGGUCAG
Molecule: transfer RNA, 69 nt
Filed under: Ovis aries (sheep)
Lineage: Eukaryota; Metazoa; Chordata; Mammalia; Artiodactyla; Bovidae
Rfam family: tRNA
About the family: Transfer RNA (tRNA) molecules are approximately 80 nucleotides in length. Their secondary structure includes four short double-helical elements and three loops (D, anti-codon, and T loops).
Source: Rfam by way of RNAcentral